AUUUAAUUUUAGGUCUGGCCUGCCCACUGAAUUAUUUAAAUGGCCGUGGUAUUUUGACCGUGCUAAGGUAGCAUAAUCAUUAGUUUUUUAAUUAAAAGCUGGAAUGAAGGGUUAGAUAAAAAAAUAACUGUCUCUGUUUAAUUUUAUUAGAAUUUUAUUUUUAAGUUAAAAAGCUUAAUUUAAAUUAAAAGACGAGAAGACCCUAUAGAGUUUUAUUAUAGUACAUAUUUUUUAUUUUAGAAUUUAAUUAUUAAAUUUGAUCUAUAAUUUGAUUGGGGUGAUUGAAAAAUAUGAUAAACUUUUUUUGUAAUAUAACAUUAAUUUAUGAAUUAUUGAUCCAAUUUUUUUUUGAUUAUAAGAUAAAAUUACCUUAGGGAUAACAGCGUAAUUUUUUUAGAAAGUUCAAAUUGAAAAAAAAGAUUGCGACCUCGAUGUUGGAUUAAAGUUUAUUUUUGGUGUAGAAGCUAAAAUAUUAGGUCU
RNAcentral lists this ribosomal RNA (480 nucleotides) under Gonioctena linnaeana. RNAcentral describes it as "partial 16S ribosomal RNA". The record is from RNAcentral. Lineage: Eukaryota; Metazoa; Arthropoda; Insecta; Coleoptera; Chrysomelidae.